AUUGAACGCUGGUGGCAGGCCUAACACAUGCAAGUCGAACGAGUGGCGGACGGGUGAGUAAUGUCUGGGAACCUGCCCGAUGGAGGGGGAUAACUACUGGAAACGGUAGCUAAUACCGCAUACCAUCGGAUGUGCCCAGAUGGGAUUAGCUAGUAGGUGGGGUAACGGCUCACCUAGGCGACGAUCCCUAGCUGGUCUGCGAGGAUGACCGGCCACUCUGGAACUGAGACACGGUCCAGACUCCUACGGGAGGCAGCAGUGGGGAAUAUUGCACAAUGGGCGCAAGCCUGAUGCAGCCAUGCCGCGUGUAUGAAGAAGGCCUUCGGGUUGUAAGUACUUUCAGCGAGUAGGCGGUACUCGAAGAAGAAGCACCGGCUAACUCCGUGCCAGCAGCCGCGGUAAUUG
RNAcentral lists this ribosomal RNA (405 nucleotides) under uncultured bacterium. RNAcentral's name for it is "partial 16S ribosomal RNA". It matches the Rfam family "Bacterial small subunit ribosomal RNA", at positions 30 to 527 of the family's 1533-position model. The record is from RNAcentral.